This 497-nucleotide ribosomal RNA is filed under the name uncultured bacterium. RNAcentral describes it as "partial 16S ribosomal RNA". It matches the Rfam family "Bacterial small subunit ribosomal RNA", at positions 28 to 507 of the family's 1533-position model. The record is from RNAcentral.
GAUGAACGCUGGCGGCGUGCCUAAUACAUGCAAGUCGAGCGAACGGACGAGAAGCUCGCUUCUCUGAUGUUAGCGGCGGACGGGUGAGUAACAAGUAGAUAACCCACCUAUAUGACUUGGAUAACUUCGAGAAACCGGAGCUAAUACCGGAUAAUAUUUUGAACCGCAUGGUUCAAAAGUGAAAGACGGUCUUGCUGUCACUUAUAGAUGGAUCCGCGCUGCAUUAGCUAGUUGGUAAGGUAACGGCCUACCAAGGCAACGAUGCAUAGCCGACCUGAGAGGGUGAUCGGCCACACUGGAACGGGGACACGGUCCAGACUCCUACGGGAGGCAGCAGUAGGGAAUCGUCCGCAAUGGGCGAAAGCCUGACGGAGCAACGCCGCGUGAGUGAUGAAGGUCUUCGGAGCGUAAAACUCUGUUAUGAGGGAAGAACAUAUGUGUAAGGAACUGUGCACAUCUUGACGGUACCUAAUCAGAAAGCCACGGCUAACUACGUG